UUGCGCCUGCGAAGGACGCAGCAUCACUCGGAUAAUUGCCUUGCAGGCGGCAGAGUGAUGUCCCCGUCCGGUGAUCAGCAAUUUUGCUGAUUCAAAAUCAUUCC
This 104-nucleotide non-coding RNA is filed under the name unclassified sequences. Its description in RNAcentral is "RT-5 RNA". It matches the Rfam family "RT-5 RNA". Rfam says of the family: Clostridium (Firmicutes). Environment (Cow rumen (57)) The record is from Rfam by way of RNAcentral.